This 279-nucleotide ribosomal RNA is filed under the name uncultured bacterium. RNAcentral's name for it is "partial 16S ribosomal RNA". It matches the Rfam family "Bacterial small subunit ribosomal RNA", at positions 506 to 784 of the family's 1533-position model. The record is from RNAcentral.
UGCCAGCCGCCGCGGUAAUACGUAGGUGGCAAGCGUUAUUCGGAUUUAUUGGGCGUAAAGGGUCCGUAGGGGGUGUGUUAAGUCUGAUGUGAAAGCUCGAGGCUCAACUUCGGAACUGCAUUGGAAACUGGCACACUAGAGCAUAGGAGAGGAGAGUGGAAUUCCUGGUGUAGCGGUGGAAUGCGUAGAUAUCAGGAGGAACACCGAUGGCGAAGGCAGCUCUCUGGACUAUUGCUGACCCUGAGGGACGAAAGCUAGGGGAGCAAACAGGAUUAGAUA